RNAcentral lists this ribosomal RNA (820 nucleotides) under Escherichia coli. Its description in RNAcentral is "partial 23S ribosomal RNA". It matches the Rfam family "Bacterial large subunit ribosomal RNA", at positions 367 to 1191 of the family's 2925-position model. Lineage: Bacteria; Pseudomonadati; Pseudomonadota; Gammaproteobacteria; Enterobacterales; Enterobacteriaceae. The record is from RNAcentral.
ACAGCCCCGUACACAAAAAUGCACAUAUUGUGAGCUCGAUGAGUAGGGCGGGACACGUGGUAUCCUGUCUGAAUAUGGGGGGACCAUCCUCCAAGGCUAAAUACUCCUGACUGACCGAUAGUGAACCAGUACCGUGAGGGAAAGGCGAAAAGAACCCCGGCGAGGGGAGUGAAAAAGAACCUGAAACCGUGUACGUACAAGCAGUGGGAGCACGCUUAGGCGUGUGACUGCGUACCUUUUGUAUAAUGGGUCAGCGACUUAUAUUCUGUAGCAAGGUUAACCGAAUAGGGGAGCCGAAGGGAAACCGAGUCUUAACUGGGCGUUAAGUUGCAGGGUAUAGACCCGAAACCCGGUGAUCUAGCCAUGGGCAGGUUGAAGGUUGGGUAACACUAACUGGAGGACCGAACCGACUAAUGUUGAAAAAUUAGCGGAUGACUUGUGGCUGGGGGUGAAAGGCCAAUCAAACCGGGAGAUAGCUGGUUCUCCCCGAAAGCUAUUUAGGUAGCGCCUCGUGAAUUCAUCUCCGGGGGUAGAGCACUGUUUCGGCAAGGGGGUCAUCCCGACUUACCAACCCGAUGCAAACUGCGAAUACCGGAGAAUGUUAUCACGGGAGACACACGGCGGGUGCUAACGUCCGUCGUGAAGAGGGAAACAACCCAGACCGCCAGCUAAGGUCCCAAAGUCAUGGUUAAGUGGGAAACGAUGUGGGAAGGCCCAGACAGCCAGGAUGUUGGCUUAGAAGCAGCCAUCAUUUAAAGAAAGCGUAAUAGCUCACUGGUCGAGUCGGCCUGCGCGGAAGAUGUAACGGGGCUAAACCAUG